GACGAACGCUGGCGGCGUGCCUAACACAUGCAAGUCGAACGAGGUCCAUGGGUGCUUGCACCCGGAAGACCUAGUGGCGAACGGGUGAGUAACACGUGAGAAACCUGCCCCAGACUCUGGGAUAACCCAAGGAAACUUGAGCUAAUACCGGAUAUUCUCCUUUGGUCGAAUGGCCAGUUGAGGAAAGUUUUUCGGUCUGGGAGGGUCUCGCGUCCUAUCAGCUUGUUGGGGAGGUAACGGCUCACCAAGGCGACGACGGGUAGCUGGUUUGAGAGAACGAUCAGCCACACUGGAACUGAGACACGGUCCAGACUCCUACGGGAGGCAGCAGUUGGGAAUCUUGCGCAAUGGGCGAAAGCCUGACGCAGCAACGCCGCGUGCGGGAUGAAGGCCUUCGGGUUGUAAACCGCUUUCAGCAGGGACGAAAAUGACGGUACCUGCAGAAGAAGCUCCGGCUAACUACGUGCCAGCCGCCGCAGUAA
RNAcentral lists this ribosomal RNA (482 nucleotides) under uncultured bacterium. RNAcentral's name for it is "partial 16S ribosomal RNA". It matches the Rfam family "Bacterial small subunit ribosomal RNA", at positions 28 to 523 of the family's 1533-position model. The record is from RNAcentral.